RNAcentral lists this unclassified non-coding RNA (331 nucleotides) under soil metagenome. RNAcentral's name for it is "partial contains 5.8S ribosomal RNA, internal transcribed spacer 2, and large subunit ribosomal RNA". The stretch from base 1 to 120 matches the Rfam family "5.8S ribosomal RNA", at positions 35 to 154 of the family's 154-position model. The record is from RNAcentral.
GAUGAAGAACGUAGCGAAAUGCGAUAAGUAAUGUGAAUUGCAGAAUUCAGUGAAUCAUCGAAUCUUUGAACGCUCAUUGCGGCCCCUGGUAUUCCGGGGGGCAUGCCUGUUCGAGCGUCAUUUCACCACUCAAGCCUCGCUUGGUAUUGGGCAACGCGGUCCGCCGCGUGCCUCAAAUCGACCGGCUGGGUCUUCUGUCCCCUAAGCGUUGUGGAAACUAUUCGCUAAAGGGUGUUCGGGAGGCUACGCCGUAAAACAACCCCAUUUCUAAGGUUGACCUCGGAUCAGGUAGGGAUACCCGCUGAACUUAAGCAUAUCAAUAAGCGGAGGA